GGCCAUGAGGGUGACCUGGAUGUGACACCUGUCAUCUAAUUGAUCACCCUGGUGGAUUUGACUGACUAGGUGGAUGUCCCCCUCUUCCCUCACCACUUCCUGUAGGUUCCUCCCAAAGCUGUGUACCCACUGUCAAAGAGUUGACUUUCCCUGGUGGAGGAGGAGUGGUCUUCAGUCAAGGUUACAUGAGCCAUUGUGCUUUCUUGUCAGAACCUCCAAAUAAAUUCUCAAGAGACAGAAGUGCCCAGUGUGGUCCCACUUUUAAUCCUGGGAGACAGAGGCAGGCCACUAAAGUUACAAAGUGAGACCCUGUCU
This 315-nucleotide small nuclear RNA is filed under the name Nannospalax galili (Upper Galilee mountains blind mole rat). Its description in RNAcentral is "7SK RNA (ENSNGAG00000002236.1)". It matches the Rfam family "7SK RNA". Rfam says of the family: 7SK was discovered as an abundant small nuclear RNA in the mid-70s but a possible function has only recently been suggested. Two independent studies have found that 7SK RNA binds the CDK9/cyclin T complex (known as elongation factor P-TEFb). Lineage: Eukaryota; Metazoa; Chordata; Mammalia; Rodentia; Spalacidae. The record is from Rfam by way of RNAcentral.